UCCUGGUUAGCCCAGUUGGUAGAGCGCUAUACUGAAAAUGAAGAGGUCCCUGGUUCGAUACCUGGACCAGGCG
Ixodes scapularis (black-legged tick) is the source of this 73-nucleotide non-coding RNA. The record is from Rfam. NCBI's taxonomy places the organism in Eukaryota, Metazoa, Arthropoda, Arachnida, Ixodida, Ixodidae.